This 406-nucleotide ribosomal RNA is filed under the name uncultured bacterium. Its description in RNAcentral is "partial 16S ribosomal RNA". It matches the Rfam family "Bacterial small subunit ribosomal RNA", at positions 30 to 526 of the family's 1533-position model. The record is from RNAcentral.
AUUGAACGCUGGCGGCAGGCCUAACACAUGCAAGUCGAACGAGUGGCGGACGGGUGAGUAAUGUCUGGGAAACUGCCCGAUGGAGGGGGAUAACUACUGGAAACGGUAGCUAAUCCCGCAUACCAUCGGAUGUUCCCAGAUGGGCUUAGCUAGUAGGUGGGGUAACGGUUCACCUAGGCCACGAUCCCUAGCUGGUCUGAGAGGAUGACCAGCAACACUGGAACUGAGACACGGUCCAGACUCCUACGGGAGGCAGCAGUGGGGAAUAUUGCACAAUGGGCGCAAGCCUGAUGCAGCCAUGCCGCGUGUAUGAAGAAGGCCUUCGGGUUGUAAAGUACUUUCAGCGGGGAGGCGUUACCCGCAGAAGAAGCACCGGCUAACUCCGUGCCAGCAGCCGCGGUAAUUC